Molecule: ribosomal RNA, 253 nt
Filed under: uncultured bacterium
Lineage: Bacteria
Description: partial 16S ribosomal RNA
Rfam family: Bacterial small subunit ribosomal RNA
Source: RNAcentral
GACAGAGGGUGCAGACGUUGUUCGGAAUUACUGGGCGUAAAGCGCGUGUAGGCUGCUCAGAAAGUCGGACGUGAAAGCCCUGGGCUUAACCUAGGAAGUGCAUUCGAAACUUCUGAGCUUGAGUUCUGGAGAGGAAGGCGGAAUUCUCGGUGUAGAGGUGAAAUUCGUAGAUAUCGAGAGGAACACCGGUGGCGAAGGCGGCCUUCUGGACAGUGACUGACGCUGAGACGCGAAAGCGUGGGGAGCAAACAGG